CCUUGGUCGCCCUCGGGGGCCGCGGGCUCGGACUGCUCCGGAGCCGGGCUGGGCGGACCUCCGCCGUCGCCGUCCCCUCCAUCACCGCCGCCGCCGCCGCCGCUCAGCUGCGCUGCCAUGGGCUACGGGGAAGUAACGGGCAGCUCCGAGUUUCCUUGAAGUCGCUCUCGCUGGGACACCCCUCCCGGCCCCCCAAAGGCUUCUGUCUCAGCAUCUCCAGGGAUCAACCAGCCACGCCGGAGGAGGCGUCCUCCGCGUUCUUUUCUGUUAUACCUGCGCCACCCUAUUUCCAAUCAGCCCCACCUGCCCCACCCCGCCCUAAUUGUUGUGUACUUUUAAUAAGGCUUCAAAGUUCAGCUCUUCUGUGCCUUUCGGGUCAAGUAGCUUCACCGGGAAUGGAAGGGGGUUAGACUAACACCAUUAAGGUUGAAAUGCCUUUAGAGACCAAUGUUUUUGCUUUCUUUACAGUAAAGUUUCUUUACAGUAACACUCAAGUCCAUUAAGUUAUAAAGUGACCAAAACUCUAGAUGUCCUAAAGUUUUACCCUAUAACUUCCAACUAUCUUUCCAAGCGAGAGAGAGAACUAAGUGGGGCCAAGAACCUUAAAGUAUCUAUCACAAGUGAGAAAAUGUCAUUGAUUCUAGUUAAAUGUUUACCAAGCCGAGGUGGUUAGAAAUUUUAAUGAAAUUAAUAAAAGGUAAAACAAGAUCAGAUUUGGCAAAAAUGACAGCACAGGAAACAAAACAAAUAACAAAGGGCUCCUCUCACUGUGGUGUAAAAAAGUAAAUGGGGUGAGGGUGUUGGAUUCAGAGUCAAGGGAUACAGGUUCCUGUGUAAGUUAUCUUUGUGGAAUCCCGAUUCAGAUUCUGGCUCACCCCAAAAAAAGAUGCUGGUCCCUCAGACCACUUUCUAUUGCUACCACUCUCAGACUCUGCCUAAAUUUUAAAUUUCCAAUCCAUCUGAGUUGCCUAAGCAAUGUUGCAAAGCACUACCCUGAUCAUGUUGUUACACGAUCCAUUAGAAAACAUCCAGGAGUGGCUACCCAAUGCACUCAACAAUGAAUGUACUCCAAUUUCUUGGCUUGAGGUUUAACCCCAACUUAAUUCUAACCUACCAGUUCUAGUCUCACAACUAGCCUCAGGUACAUAUGGUUUUCCUAAACUAUAGACACAUUUUUUUGGGGGGUGAAAGGGAGUAAGGA
Molecule: long non-coding RNA, 1201 nt
Organism: Sarcophilus harrisii (Tasmanian devil)
Lineage: Eukaryota; Metazoa; Chordata; Mammalia; Dasyuromorphia; Dasyuridae
Exons: 2
Source: RefSeq, a predicted model, not a curated record